GACGAACGCUGGCGGCGUGCCUAAUACAUGCAAGUUGAGCGCUGAAGGUUGGUACUUGUACCAACUGGAUGAGCAGCGAACGGGUGAGUAACGCGUGGGGAAUCUGCCUUUGAGCGGGGGACAACAUUUGGAAACGAAUGCUAAUACCGCAUAAAAACUUUAAACACAAGUUUUAAGUUUGAAAGAUGCAAUUGCAUCACUCAAAGAUGAUCCCGCGUUGUAUUAGCUAGUUGGUGAGGUAAAGGCUCACCAAGGCGAUGAUACAUAGCCGACCUGAGAGGGUGAUCGGCCACAUUGGGACUGAGACACGGCCCAAACUCCUACGGGAGGCAGCAGUAGGGAAUCUUCGGCAAUGGACGAAAGUCUGACCGAGCAACGCCGCGUGAGUGAAGAAGGUUUUCGGAUCGUAAAAAUCUGUUGGUAGAGAAGAACGUUGGUGAGAGUGGAAAGCUCAUCAAGUGACGGUAACUACCCAGAAAGGGACGGUUAACUACGUG
RNAcentral lists this ribosomal RNA (497 nucleotides) under uncultured bacterium. Its description in RNAcentral is "partial 16S ribosomal RNA". It matches the Rfam family "Bacterial small subunit ribosomal RNA", at positions 28 to 507 of the family's 1533-position model. The record is from RNAcentral.